RNAcentral lists this ribosomal RNA (743 nucleotides) under Rotylenchus buxophilus. RNAcentral describes it as "eukaryotic LSU rRNA". It matches the Rfam family "Eukaryotic large subunit ribosomal RNA", at positions 367 to 942 of the family's 3401-position model. Lineage: Eukaryota; Metazoa; Nematoda; Chromadorea; Rhabditida; Hoplolaimidae. The record is from RNAcentral.
CAAAGCACUUUGAAGAGAGAGUUAAAGAGGACGUGAAACCGAUGAGGUGGAAACGGACAGAGCUGGCGUAUCUGGCCUGUAUUCAGCCGUGGGCUCGCUGGCGUCAGGGAUGCCGCUCUCCAGAUUGGGACGGUGGCCUGUCUGCCGGUGGGUUUGUGGUGCAUUUGCAGGUGGAGUGCGCCGAGGCGCUCGGGUGCAGCGGCAUGAGCCCAGUUUUGAGGCCAGCCUCGCAAGAGGUCUGGUACCCGGACUGUUGGGGAGUGCUGUUUGCCCUGGGUGUACAAAAAGGGUAAUGGUCUCGGGCCCGGGUGGGUGCCGAGCUGGCAGUCGGAGGCGGUCGCAUGCGACACGUGCCAGCGGUCAGUUCGGUCCUGCUCGAGCUCACAUCUCUGCCCGUCCUCGGUGUAAAAGCCGGUCAUCUGUCCGACCCGUCUUGAAACACGGACCAAGGAGUUUAGCGUGUGCGCGAGUCAUUGGGCGUUGAAAACCCAAAGGCGCAAUGAAAGUGAAGGUCUCCCUUGCGGAGCUGAUGUGUGAUCCUGGGCGCUGCGGUGCCCGGGCGCAACAUAGUCCCGUCCCGACCGCUUGCGGUGGGGCGGAGACAGAGCGUACGCGCUGAGACCCGAAAGAUGGUGAACUAUUCCUGAGCAGGAUGAAGCCAGUGGAAACUCUGGUGGAAGUCCGAAGCGAUUUCUGACGUGCAAAUCGAUCGUCUGAACUGGGUAUAGNNNUAAUUUGGUCCA